This 305-nucleotide ribosomal RNA is filed under the name uncultured bacterium. RNAcentral describes it as "bacterial SSU rRNA". It matches the Rfam family "Bacterial small subunit ribosomal RNA", at positions 338 to 639 of the family's 1533-position model. The record is from RNAcentral.
CCUACGGGAGGCAGCAGUGAGGAAUAUUGGUCAAUGGGCGGAAGCCUGAACCAGCCAAGUCGCGUGAGGGAAUAAGGCCCUACGGGUCGUAAACCUCUUUUGCCGGGGAGCAAGGGCGGGGACGUGUCCCGGCCCGGAGAGUACCCGGAGAAAAAGCAUCGGCUAACUCCGUGCCAGCAGCCGCGGUAAUACGGAGGAUGCGAGCGUUAUCCGGAUUUACUGGGUGUAAAGGGAGCGUAGACGGGCCAGCAAGUCUGAUGUGAAAACCCGGGGCCCAACCCCGGGAGUGCAUUGGAAACUGCGGG